RNAcentral lists this non-coding RNA (162 nucleotides) under human gut metagenome. The record is from RNAcentral.
GCCCCUUUGGGGCAUGAAAAGGGAACGCGGUGCAAAUCCGCGGCAGUCCCCGCUACUGUAAGAAGGACGAAAGCCCGCAGCCGCCUUUGGCGGCGGUCACUGAGCAAUUGGGAAGACGCGGCGAGUAGGAGGAAUUCGAGCCAGGAGACCUGCCUGUUUUGU